Molecule: long non-coding RNA, 2406 nt
Filed under: Homo sapiens (human)
Lineage: Eukaryota; Metazoa; Chordata; Mammalia; Primates; Hominidae
Description: HSALNT0302929
Source: RNAcentral
ACUAUGUAAGAAGAAUUAUGGUUUGAACUACGUAACAAUUACCUAGACAUCUUUUGGACUUCAGUUAACCUAAAUUAACUCUGCAAAAAGCGCUGUGGAGAACCUGGGUUUUAAUCUAGGGUUUUGCAAGUUCAUGCACCUGGCAGUGGCCUAAGGCGCAGAAGGACCAAACUGAGGUGUCAAGCACUGCAGUAGAUUCUGAAGAUACAAAAAUAAAUAAAACAUUCCUGCCCUCAAGACACUUACACUCUUAUGUGUAACACUGUGUGACCAUUCAUCUGGGCCUUCCUGAGACAGUCUUGGUUUACACCUGUUUUCCCAAUCAGAGCAUCACUGCCUUUCCCACUAUUCUCCUGCAGAAGAGCAGGGGAAGGAAGCACCAGGGUCCAUCAUGGAGGAAGGGUGUUGCCCUGAACAGCUGACACACCCUCAGCAAUGAAGCUUAGUUUUGCUGGAACUUUUCAGUUGUGACAACUGAGAUUCAGAGAUGUCCAAUCUACUCACAUAAAUAGCCUGGUUGAAGAUGGCUGAGCGUAAAACAGAAUGCAAGUCAGCUGGAGCACGUACUACUGGAGGCAGAGCCCCAUGAGAAGGGGCCAAGAACCCGCACCCAUCAAAAUCAAGAAGAAAGGCUGAACCCGGAGAGAAAAGGGAGCAACUGAUGUUGCCAUGCAGAUCCCUUGGUUGCUAUGAGAUGGUAACAUCACUCUGCCCCACCAUUGGCCAGUGCCUCCUCAGCUGCGGUGCCUCCCAGGCUGUGUGGUUCUCACGCGGGCCACUGACACAGAGCUGUUACUAUGGUGAACUUUACAAUUUCCUUUGAUUGGUGGAUUUCAGAAAUAGGCCAUCAGCGGAAUUCAUUAUAUUCAGCUAAGUAAAAAUGAAAAAUAAAUACUAUAACUUUCCCCUCAUCACUAACAUGAAGGAAACGUGACCCUUCAUGACAUAAUAAAUCGCUGUUCGGUAACUUAGGAUCCUUCAGGGGACUGAAGCGGGAUGAUCCUCCUAUGCCAAAUUUGGGUGGGAAAGAUAUUCCCUGUAGCUUUGAGUCGACUCUUCAGAGUUAAGGGCAGUGGGCCAACCAGAGUUGGAACUUCAGAGUUGGGAGGAGGUGUGGGAUGGGGCAUGCAUUGAAAUGUAAACUCUAUUGUCUCUGAAGUGAUGGGUGAUGCUGGGGGCCUGAGUGUGGAGGGCAGUUUUACAUCUCAGGACAAUGUUUUCUCAGAUGCUCUUCCAGAAAGAAAAGCCAGGAGUACUCCUGGCUGGAGGCGGCAUGCCUGAGGUCAGAGUCAAAGUAGGGUUUGUGCUGUCUGAAUCCUUUCUCCCACUCUCCCCAGCCUGGCUCAGCUUCUCAGCUUCUCAGGUGGAUUGGUGAGUCCUGGCCAAUUACGCUUCAGCUCAUCUCUACUCUCAGCAAAUAGGAAAAGGGAGUGAAGGACUGAGUUUUAACUCUUCUAAUUUCGUAACCUGACUCUCUAUAAGAAAAAGUAGGAGAAAGACUGAAGAACCCGAGAGAACAGGCCUCUGAGCCCAAGCCAAGCCAUCGCAUCCCCUGUGACUUGCCCGUAUAUAUGCCCAGAUGGCCUGAAGUAACUGAAGAAUCACAAAAGAAGUGAAUAUGCCUUGCCCCACCUUGACUGAUGACAUUCCACCACAAAAGAAGUGUAAAUGGCCGGUCCUUGCCUUAACUGAUGACAUUACCUUGUGAAAGUCCUUUUCCUGGCUCAUCCUGGCUCAAAAAGCACCCCCACUGAGCAUCUUGCGACUCCCACUCCUGCCCACUGAGCACCUUGUGACCCCCACUCCUGCCUGCCAGAGAACAAACCCCCUUUGACUGUAAUUUUCCUUUACCUACCCAAAUCCUAUAAAACGGCUCCACCCUUAUCUCCUUUUGCUGACUCUCUUUUCUGACUCAGCCCGCCUGCACCCAGGAGAUUAAAAGCUUUAUUGCUCACACAAAGCCUGUUUGGUGGUCUCUUCACAUGGAUAUGCAUGAAAUUUGGUGCCGUGACUCGGAUCGGGGGACCUCCCUUGGGAGAUCAAUCCCCUGUCCUCCUGCUCUUUGCUCCGUGAGAAAGAUCCACCUACGACCUCAGGUCCUCAGACCGACCAGCCCAAGAAACAUCUCACCAAUUUCAAAUCCAGUAAGCAGCCUCUUUUUACUCUCUUCUCCAACGUCCCUCACUACCCCUCAACCUCUUUCUCCUUUCAAUCUUGGUGCCACACUUCAAUCUCUCCCCUCUCUUAAUUUCAAUUCCUUUCAUUUUCUGGUAGAGACAAAAGAGACACGUUUUAUCCAUGAACCCAAAACUCCGGCGCCGGUCACGGAAGGCAGCCUUCCCUUGGUGUUUAAUCAUUGCAGGGACGCCUCUCUGAUUAUACACUCACGUUUCAAGGGUGUCAGAC